This 222-nucleotide long non-coding RNA is filed under the name Brassica napus (rape). RNAcentral's name for it is "long non-coding RNA (BNAP_LNC006646)". The record is from RNAcentral. Lineage: Eukaryota; Viridiplantae; Streptophyta; Magnoliopsida; Brassicales; Brassicaceae.
UUUCCCAGGUGGUUUAAGUACUCUAGUUGCCUCUUACUAUCUCUUAUCUCUUCUAAGGGAUCCAUCUGAAACACAAAACUUGAAAUGAUUAGCACAAAAUAUGUAAAUAACACGAUCAAACGAACCGUCUAUCCAACCCAGUUUACGAUUUCAAACCACUUAUCGAAACCCCCAAAUUUUUUUUUUAACCCUAACUCGAUAACCCCUAUUUUAUUUUCAAUC